Molecule: non-coding RNA, 202 nt
Organism: Oryza glumipatula
Lineage: Eukaryota; Viridiplantae; Streptophyta; Magnoliopsida; Poales; Poaceae
Source: Rfam
AAAAAAGCAAACCGUGGGUUCCCGUGUCAACAUAUGACUGUCCGUUUUAUAUGAAAUUUUUUUAUAAUUAGUAUUUUUAUUAUUGUUAGAUAAUAAAACAUGAUUAAUAAUUUAUGCGUGAAUUAUCUUUUUAAUUUUUUUUAUAUUUUUUUAAAUAAAACGGACGAUCAAAUGUUGAAAACGGAAACAGGUUUGUCUUUCU